RNAcentral lists this ribosomal RNA (740 nucleotides) under uncultured bacterium. Its description in RNAcentral is "bacterial SSU rRNA". It matches the Rfam family "Bacterial small subunit ribosomal RNA", at positions 8 to 796 of the family's 1533-position model. The record is from RNAcentral.
AGAGUUUGAUCAUGGCUCAGAACGAACGCUGGCGGCAGGCUUAACACAUGCAAGUCGAGCGCCCCGCAAGGGGAGCGGCAGACGGGUGAGUAACGCGUGGGAAUCUACCCUUUUCUACGGAAUAACGCAGGGAAACUUGUGCUAAUACCGUAUGUGUCCUUCGGGAGAAAGAUUUAUCGGGAAAGGAUGAGCCCGCGUUGGAUUAGCUAGUUGGUGGGGUAAAGGCCUACCAAGGCGACGAUCCAUAGCUGGUCUGAGAGGAUGAUCAGCCACAUUGGGACUGAGACACGGCCCAAACUCCUACGGGAGGCAGCAGUGGGGAAUAUUGGACAAUGGGCGCAAGCCUGAUCCAGCCAUGCCGCGUGAGUGAUGAAGGCCCUAGGGUUGUAAAGCUCUUUCACCGGAGAAGAUAAUGACGGUAUCCGGAGAAGAAGCCCCGGCUAACUUCGUGCCAGCAGCCGCGGUAAUACGAAGGGGGCUAGCGUUGUUCGGAAUUACUGGGCGUAAAGCGCACGUAGGCGGAUCGAUCAGUCAGGGGUGAAAUCCCAGGGCUCAACCCUGGAACUGCCUUUGAUACUGUCGAUCUGGAGUAUGGAAGAGGUGAGUGGAAUUCCGAGUGUAGAGGUGAAAUUCGUAGAUAUUCGGAGGAACACCAGUGGCGAAGGCGGCUCACUGGUCCAUUACUGACGCUGAGGUGCGAAAGCGUGGGGAGCAAACAGGAUUAGAUACCCUAGUAGUCC